Molecule: transfer RNA, 76 nt
Filed under: Candidatus Zambryskibacteria bacterium GWB1_40_5
Lineage: Bacteria; Candidatus Zambryskiibacteriota
Also listed under: 2 other names
Description: tRNA-Val
Rfam family: tRNA
About the family: Transfer RNA (tRNA) molecules are approximately 80 nucleotides in length. Their secondary structure includes four short double-helical elements and three loops (D, anti-codon, and T loops).
Source: RNAcentral
GCGCGAUUAGCUCAGUUGGUAGAGCGACUCAUUGACGUUGAGUAGGCCACAGGUUCGAGUCCUGUAUCGCGCACAA